GUAGAAUUCCCUCGGUCCCAAAAUUCUUGUCUUACAUUUGUUUAGAUAUGGAUGUAUCUAACACUAAAAUGUAACUAGAUACAUCCGUAUUUAGACAAAUUUAAGACAAGAAUUUUGGGACAGAGGGAGUACAAA
This is a non-coding RNA of Triticum aestivum (bread wheat), 135 nucleotides long. Lineage: Eukaryota; Viridiplantae; Streptophyta; Magnoliopsida; Poales; Poaceae. The record is from Rfam.